GGACAAGUAGCUCCAAUGGUAGAGCAGUGGUUUGAAGCACCGCCUGUACAGGUUCGAUUCCUGUCUUGUCCGCCA
Molecule: transfer RNA, 75 nt
Filed under: Chitinophaga niabensis
Lineage: Bacteria; Pseudomonadati; Bacteroidota; Chitinophagia; Chitinophagales; Chitinophagaceae
Description: tRNA_Phe_GAA
Rfam family: tRNA
About the family: Transfer RNA (tRNA) molecules are approximately 80 nucleotides in length. Their secondary structure includes four short double-helical elements and three loops (D, anti-codon, and T loops).
Source: RNAcentral